AGAGAGAACCAUCUUACAAGCCAAAUAACCCCAAAUCCAAAAAAAGCAAAACCACUUUUCCUAUUAUACCAUUUGAUAGACAUUAGACAGCACUCAGUCACUCCUCUACUGUCUCAGUGUACUAGCUCUGUCUCAGUACCUCUGCUCCUUACGCUGCAAGCCAAACACCCCCUUAUCUAUCAGGCCAAAUAAAACAAUCCACAACAAACCAAAUCACAAAUUCUCUCUAUUUAUCUCUUCUUUGCUUCAUCCUACACAUACUCUUUUCUUGGUUUUGAAUAUUUUUAUGUUGAGGAAGAGGAAGUUGAGGAGCAUUUUCUUGAAAUUCAAAGCUCAAUUCUUGAAUCAGAAGAAGAAGAAAAAGAGUAACAAGUUGAGUUUUCACUAUGAUCCUUUAAGUUAUGCACUCAACUUUGACAAUGGCAACUUUGGUUUUUGCUUGUAAAAUUUAUCACUUACAAGUUACACCCCCCCCCCCCCCCCCCUUCCUCUCUUUUUCUUCCUCAACCCCAAAAAUUCCUCUAUAAGAAUUUUGAUAUUUUUAGAUGACUAGUUGCUGACCAGUUUAAUUUUCUAGCUUCAAAAAUGUUGUAAGAAGGUCUAAUGACAAGUUAGUAAA
Long non-coding RNA from Lycium barbarum (goji berry), 619 nucleotides. RefSeq lists it as uncharacterized. The transcript has 2 exons. Lineage: Eukaryota; Viridiplantae; Streptophyta; Magnoliopsida; Solanales; Solanaceae. The record is from RefSeq and is a predicted model, not a curated record.